This is a transfer RNA of Ipomoea nil (Japanese morning glory), 58 nucleotides long. It matches the Rfam family "tRNA", at positions 8 to 63 of the family's 71-position model. Rfam says of the family: Transfer RNA (tRNA) molecules are approximately 80 nucleotides in length. Their secondary structure includes four short double-helical elements and three loops (D, anti-codon, and T loops). Further hydrogen bonds mediate the characteristic L-shaped molecular structure. tRNAs have two regions of fundamental functional importance: the anti-codon, which is responsible for specific mRNA codon recognition, and the 3' end, to which the tRNAs corresponding amino acid is attached (by aminoacyl-tRNA synthetases). tRNAs cope with the degeneracy of the genetic code in two manners: having more than one tRNA (with a specific anti-codon) for a particular amino acid; and 'wobble' base-pairing, i.e. permitting non-standard base-pairing at the 3rd anti-codon position. The record is from Rfam. NCBI's taxonomy places the organism in Eukaryota, Viridiplantae, Streptophyta, Magnoliopsida, Solanales, Convolvulaceae.
UAGCUCAGUCGGUAGAGCGCAAGGCUCUUAACCUUGUGGUCCUGGGUUCAAGUCCCAG